AGAUAGAUCUGUCUCCUCCCAGACAAAAGCGAUGCUAUCCGUAUAUCCGCACCACGCACAUCCACACAGUCCAUGUGUUGGGCUGGACAGUAGGCCUAUUUUAAGACGGGAUGCGAGGUGGGAUAGAGAAAGGGGGGAUGGGAUCAGGUUUCUGAUUGCUCAUGGAGUGGACAGCGCCUGGUGCUGAAAGCUGCAACCUCAGAGCUGUGAUGCUAAUGGGAAAGACAGUGAGAAGAGGAGCCCUGGGUAAAGGAACAUCAGCUCACAUUCACCAAUAUUAUGCUGAAAAAUAGCUGGAACACAGCUGGAAGUGGAGGCUGUUUGAGAAAUACAGCAGAUGAGUGUAAUAGGCAUUCUGGCUUUGAUAUGAGGAGGCUGUACAGCUACAGCACACAUGUAUUUUAGGAACUAGGUCAGGUUUAAUAGCCCGC
Long non-coding RNA from Sinocyclocheilus anshuiensis, 431 nucleotides. RefSeq lists it as uncharacterized. The transcript has 3 exons. The record is from RefSeq and is a predicted model, not a curated record. Lineage: Eukaryota; Metazoa; Chordata; Actinopteri; Cypriniformes; Cyprinidae.